This 67-nucleotide transfer RNA is filed under the name Trapezia lutea. Its description in RNAcentral is "tRNA-Phe". Lineage: Eukaryota; Metazoa; Arthropoda; Malacostraca; Decapoda; Trapeziidae. The record is from RNAcentral.
UAUUUAUAUAAUUUAAAAAGAAUAUUACAUUGAAGCUGUAAAAGUGAUACAAUAUGUCUAUAAAUAA